GCCAGUGUAGCUCAGUUGGUUGAGUGUUGUCCCAUGCACCAAAAGGUCGCUGGUUCGAUUCCAGUCAGGGCA
Non-coding RNA from Myotis lucifugus (little brown bat), 72 nucleotides. NCBI's taxonomy places the organism in Eukaryota, Metazoa, Chordata, Mammalia, Chiroptera, Vespertilionidae. The record is from Rfam.